GUUUAGUUCAAUAGUGUGAGCUUGUAGCCCGAACAGGGGCAACAAAGUGGUUGAAGGUCAGUCCCAUCCAAAAGUAGGGUCUUUAUAUGAUAAUCUCUGGCCUGCCUGUUCCAAGUAGGGAGUUAGACCUUGGGCUUUGGGAGAAGACUUGAAGCCAUUGCCACUAGAAAUGGAGGGAACCAUGUGAGGCUGGUUUCACUGAGCAACAUCACCUCCCGCUCUCUUCAGUGAAAGGAUGCGUGUCGGUCCUUGGUAGCCCAAUAAUGUCCCGUGGGAAGUUCUCAGCCUAACAACCACCUUU
This 301-nucleotide signal recognition particle RNA is filed under the name Cucumis sativus (cucumber). RNAcentral's name for it is "SRP RNA Plant_SRP". It matches the Rfam family "Plant signal recognition particle RNA". Lineage: Eukaryota; Viridiplantae; Streptophyta; Magnoliopsida; Cucurbitales; Cucurbitaceae. The record is from Rfam by way of RNAcentral.